CAUGCAUCGUAUUAUCUCAAGAUUAGCCAUGCAUGUCUAUGCACAAGCCAAAACAAGGUGAAGCCGCGAAUUGCUCAUUACAACAGCCAUUGUUUACUGGAUCUUAACUAUCCUACUUGGAUAACUGUGGUAAUUCUAGAGCUAAUACACGCACGAAGCUCUGACCGCAAGGGAUGAGCGCAUUUAUUAGAACAAAAACCAAUCAGGCUUUGCCUGUUAUUGGUGGAUCUGAAUAACUCAGCUGAUCGCACGGUCUCGCACCGGCGACGCAUCUUCCAAGUGUCUGCCUUAUCAACUUUUGAUGGUAGUUUAUGCGACUACCAUGGUUGUAACGGGUAACGGAGAAUAAGGGUUCGACUCCGGAGAGGGAGCCUGAGAAACGGCUACCACAUCCAAGGAAGGCAGCAGGCGCGCAAAUUACCCAAUCUCAGAACGAGGAGGUAGUGACGAAAAAUAACGAGACGGUUCUCUUUGAGGCCCGUUAUCGGAAUGAGUACAAUUCAAACCCUUUAACGAGGAUCUACGAGAGGGCAAGUCUGGUGCCAGCAGCCGCGGUAAUUCCAGCUCUCGAAGUGUAUAUCAUUGUUGUUGCGGUUAAAAAGCUCGUAGUUGGAUCUGCGUCUUUGGAGCCGGUCUUCCCAACGGGACAGCACUGGUCUCCUGGACUAAAAUGGCUGGUUUUGCCUUGGUGCUCUUCACCGGGUGCCUUGGCUGACUAGCAAGUUUACUUUGAAAAAAUUAGAGUGCUCAAAACAAGCGUUUGCUUGAAUACUGGUGCAUGGAAUAAUGGAAUAGGAUCUCGGUUCUAUUUUGUUGGUUUUCGGAACGUGAGAUAAUGAUUAAGAGGAACAGACGGGGGCAUUCGUAUUGCAGCGCUAGAGUGAAAUUCUUGGACCGCUGCAAGACGAACAACUGCGAAGGCAUUUGCCAAGAAUGUUUCAUUAAUCAAGAACGAAAGUUAGAGGUUCGAAGCGAUCAGAUACCGCCCUAGUUCUACCGUAACGAUGCAGACUAGCGAUCCGAUGGCGUUAUUACUGACUCAUCGGGGGAGCUUCCCGGAAACGAAGGUCUAUAUUUUCCCGGGGAAAUAUGAAUU
RNAcentral lists this ribosomal RNA (1096 nucleotides) under uncultured eukaryote. RNAcentral's name for it is "bacterial SSU rRNA". It matches the Rfam family "Eukaryotic small subunit ribosomal RNA", at positions 18 to 1131 of the family's 1831-position model. The record is from RNAcentral.